UUCCAUGAAGGGUCAUAAAAACGAGGCCCAAUUUUGAAAACUUCGAAAGUACAAUCAAAAUAAUGAAAAUGUCUACAUCCCAGUUUAGCAACGAAGGCAAGACCAGCCAAAUAAGUUUCUACACAUACAACACCAAGAGACCUCAUGUUUGAAGACAUACUAUGUGUCUACAAGAUUAUCUUAUUGUGCUGAAACCAUAGACUGAAAGUCUGAAACAUCGAAGGCUGGUUGAUAGUUCUUAUGAAAACUUUUGGACCGGAUCGACAUGGUGAUCUAAGUUUUCGGAAUUUUGUUUUUGGGAUCAGUUUACCUGUGUUUUUCGGAUAUUUUUGAGUAAGUUUACUCUUUAAACUAGCACAUAACUGUAUCUCGAUUUCUUUUGGGUUGGAGACUCAAAGUUCGAGACUCACAACUGUAGCACAUGUAACUUGUUUAUGGAAGUAUAACAAUAUUAAAUUUAAAACAAACAAAAAUCAUAAUCUUUUUAGUAAACUAAAAAUUGUCG
This is an RNA transcript of Arabidopsis thaliana (thale cress), 505 nucleotides long. RefSeq lists it as uncharacterized. The record is from RefSeq. The transcript has a single exon. Lineage: Eukaryota; Viridiplantae; Streptophyta; Magnoliopsida; Brassicales; Brassicaceae.